This 373-nucleotide ribosomal RNA is filed under the name uncultured organism. RNAcentral's name for it is "partial 16S ribosomal RNA". It matches the Rfam family "Bacterial small subunit ribosomal RNA", at positions 527 to 896 of the family's 1533-position model. The record is from RNAcentral.
GUAGGUGGCAAGCGUUGUCCGGAAUUAUUGGGCGUUAAAGCGCGCGCAGGCGGUUCUUUAAGUCUGAUGUGAAAGCCCACGGCCCAACCGUGGAGGGUCAUUGGAAACUGGAGAACUUGAGUACAGAAGAGGAAAGCGGAAUUCCACGUGUAGCGGUGAAAUGCGUAGAGAUGUGGAGGAACACCAGUGGCGAAGGCGGCUUUCUGGUCUGUAACUGACGCUGAGGCGCGAAAGCGUGGGGAGCAAACAGGAUUAGAUACCCUGGUAGUCCACGCCGUAAACGAUGGGUGCUAAGUGUUAGGGGGUUUCCGCCCCUUAGUGCUGCAGCUAACGCAUUAAGUACUCCGCCUGGGGAGUACGGCCGCAAAGGCUG